This 381-nucleotide ribosomal RNA is filed under the name Triticum aestivum (bread wheat). RNAcentral describes it as "partial small subunit ribosomal RNA". Lineage: Eukaryota; Viridiplantae; Streptophyta; Magnoliopsida; Poales; Poaceae. The record is from RNAcentral.
AUGUAUGCAAUGCUGUGUACCAGACCUGAUGUGUGCCUUGCUAUAAGUUUAGCAGGGAGGUACCAAAGUAAUCCAGGAGUGGAUCACUGGACAGCGGUCAAGAACAUCCUGAAAUACCUGAAAAGGACUAAGGAUAUGUUUCUCGUUUAUGGAGGUGACAAAGAGCUAGUCGUAAAUGGUUACGUCGAUGCAAACUUUGACACUGAUCCGGACGAUUCUAAAUCGCAAACCGGAUACGUGUUUACAUUGAACGGUGGAGCUGUCAGUUGGUGCAGUUCUAAACAAAGCAUUGUGGCGGGAUCUACAUGUGAAGCGGAGUACAUAGCUGCUUCGGAAGCAGCAAAUGAAGGAGUUCAUAUCCGAUCUAGGUGUCAUACCUAG